This 486-nucleotide ribosomal RNA is filed under the name Triticum aestivum (bread wheat). RNAcentral describes it as "partial small subunit ribosomal RNA". The record is from RNAcentral. Lineage: Eukaryota; Viridiplantae; Streptophyta; Magnoliopsida; Poales; Poaceae.
AUGGAACAGACCCAGAGUUUGCUUAGUGAGGGUGCUGAGCACAACAUGCUAACUGAAGAUCCCUUGUCAGAGAUUGCACCAAUUGGAACAGACCCACAGAGUUUGAUUAUUGAGGGUGCUGAGCACAACAUGCUAACUGAAGAUGGAGAAACAUUUAUUGAAGAUGUAGUUGUUUCAGAUUCUGAUUUUAGUGACAGUGACUAUGACAUAGAUGAUGGUGAUGAUGAUCUUUAUGAUGACAACAUUGACUUUGAUGUUGAUGAAGAAGCUGAUCAGGAUGAGGAUGAUGUGGAGCCUGAAUACUUGCUUGAGGAUGAAGAUCUCAACCUAUCAACUAAGCAAGUACAUGAACUUAGGUACAAGUUUAAAACUUUCAAUGCAAAGGUGGACAUGAUUUCUCCUGUGUUUAAAGUAGGGAUGGUAUUUGCUAAUGUGGUUGAGCUAAGACAUGCACUGACUACAUAUUCAGUUAGAAACAGAAUGUAG